This 9212-nucleotide long non-coding RNA is filed under the name Lactuca sativa (garden lettuce). Its description in RNAcentral is "long non-coding RNA (LSAT_LNC001058)". Lineage: Eukaryota; Viridiplantae; Streptophyta; Magnoliopsida; Asterales; Asteraceae. The record is from RNAcentral.
CCAAGCCCAAUAUUGGAGUUAAUUUGGGUGAAUUUUAUCAUAAAAGAAUAUAGUAUGAUUUUUCCAUUUUUGUUGAACUAGUUUAGGGUAUUCAUGGAUCAAAGCUUUCAAUUCAUUUCAUUCUAGGCCCAAUAUGGCCCAAAAUGUUGAAAUAAAUUAGUGUGGGUCCAAUUAGAGCCCAAUUAGGGUUCUAAGCCCAUGAUAGUCUAAUUGGAAGCUUAUUGGUCCAUUUGGAUCCAAUAAGGGAGUCCUAGUCCAAAGUGGACUUAAACAAGGACUUCUAGGGUUUCCAAUUGUUUGGUGACUAUUUGUAGUACUUGUAUAAUGUAUUUGAUUGAAGUUUUUGAAGUCAUAAUCAUAGGUGUUACACAUGUUCUUAAGUUUUUGAUUCACAUUAGCUUGAAUGUAUAGAUUACAUAACACAAAAUUUCCAGUUGUGACAUCAUCCCCCCGUUAGAGGGAAUUUCGUCCCGAAAUUCUGUUUGAAAGCUAGAUUUGAGAAUUGCUAGAAUAGGUGAGGGUACUUUUGUUUCAUUUGAUCUUCGCGUUCCCAUGUGAAUUCUGGCCCACGCUUUGCGUUCCACCGUACUUUCACGAUCGGGAUGCGACUUUGCUUAGUACGCUUCACCUCCCUGUCCAUGAUUUCGAUUGGUUCUUCGACGAACAGGAGAUUCUCAUUGAUUUCGAUUUCGUCAAGAGGAAUGACAAGGGUUUCAUCUGAUAGGCACUUCUUCAGAUUAGAGACAUGAAACACGGGGUGUACACCGUUUAGCUCCGCGGGUAGUUGUAGUCUGUAUGCUACUGGGCCUAUUCGGGCGACGAUUUCGAAAGGUCCAAUGUAUCGCGGGUUCAGCUUUCCCCGUUUUCCGAAACGUAUAACCCCUUUCCAGGGUGAGACUUUCAACAGUACUCGAUCACCGACCUGGAAUUCUAAGGGUUUUCGCCGUUUAUCGGCGUAGCUCUUUUGCCGGUCACGCGAUGCUUGCAAUCGAGCUCUGAUCUGAACGAUCUUUUCUGUGGUUUCGCGAAUGAUCUCCGGUCCUGUUAGUGCCCUGUCCGACGUAUGCGUUCUUGCUAGUUGGGUGUCACCUACUUCAGCCCAACAUAACGGUGAUCUACAUUUACGCCCGUACAGUGCUUCGAAAGGAGCCACCUUGAUGCUCGANUACGCCCGUAAAGUGCUUCGAAAGGAGCCACCUUGAUGCUCGAAUGGUAACUAUUGUUGUAUGAGAACUCGAUUAAGGGUAGGUGAGUAUCCCAAGACUUUCCGAAGUCUAUCACGCAUGCACGGAGCAUAUCUUCGAGUGUUUGGAUAGUUCGCUCACUUUGACCAUCCGUUUGAGGAUGAUAUGCGGUGCUCAUAUCAAGGGUUGUUCCCAUCGCCUUAUGGAGUGAUUGCCAAAAUCGGGACAUAAACCUACUAUCCCUAUCCGAGAUAAUAGAUUUUGGCACUCCAUGGAGUCUCACGAUUUCUCGUAGGUACAACCGUGUCAGUCUCUCCAUCUUGUAAGAUUCUUUGAUUGGCAGGAAAUGGGCAGAUUUCGUCAGUCGGUCGAUUAUUACCCAUAUGGUGUCCAGUCCGUCCGACNUUGGGUAGCUUGGUGACGAAAUCCAUCGAAAUCCCCUCCCAUUUCCACUCGGGAAUUUCCGGUUGCUGCAACAACCCUGAAGGUUUCUGGUAUUCCACCUUUACUUUGGCGCAUGUAAGGCACUUGCUGACGUAGGUCGCGAUUUCUGCCUUCAUGUUAGGCCACCAAUAGAGUUGUUUAAUAUCCAAAUACAUCUUAUCAGAACCGGGGUGAAUGGAGUAUCGCGUCUUAUGGGCUUCCUUCAUGACAACAUCUCUAAGCCCUCCCAGUUUAGGGACCCAAAUACGGUUCAUGAAGUAGUAUACCCCAUUCUCCCUUGUUUCUAGGUUCUUUUCCAUCCCGCGCAACGCCUCGCUAGCUCUAUUUUCCGUUCUCAUGGCCUCUGAUUGGACCGACGCGAUUUGAGUGGCCAGAUGAGAUUGAAUGGUGAUCGAGAGACUUUUCGUACGGCGGUUAGAGUACUCCUUCCGACUUAAUGCAUCAGCUACCUCGUUGGCCUUGCCUGGGUGGUACUUAAUCUCGCACUCAUAGUCGUUUAGCAACUCAACCCAUCUUCGUUGCCUCAUGUUUAACUCCUUUUGGUUUAAGAUGUGUUGGAGACUCUUGUGAUCCGUGAAGAUGGUGCACUUUGUACCGUAAAGGUAAUGCCUCCAAAUUUUUAGGGCAAAGACUACAGCUCCCAACUCUAGGUCAUGGGUUGUGUAGUUCACUUCAUGCGUCUUUAGCUGGCGGGAUGCAUAGGCUAUGACUCUACCACGUUGCAUGAGAACGCAACCUAAACCCUGAUUUGAUGCGUCGCAGUAGACUACAAAGUCUUCCGUUCCUUCAGGUAGGGAUAGUACAGGUGCGCUACAGAGAGCUUGCUUCAAGGUUCGAAAUGCGAUUUCUAGUUUGUCUGUCCAUUUGAAUGGUACGCCCUUUUGCGUAAGCGAGGUAAGUGGCUUGGCGAUCUUAGAGAAGUUUUGAAUGAAUCUCCUAUAGUAGCCUGCUAAUCCCAAGAAUUGACGAAUUUCCGUGGGCGUUGUCGGGAUUGCCCAACCUUCUACCGCUUUGACCUUAGAGGGAUCCACAUGGAUUCCAUCUCGGCUGACUACAUGGCCUAGGAAGUUCACGCUCCGCAGCCAGAACUCACACUUGGAGAGUUUGGCGUAUAGUUUUUCUGAUCGUAGAGUUUCUAAGACUUGUCGGAGAUGUUGGCCAUGCUCUUCCUUGUUUCGAGAAUAGACAAGGAUGUCAUCGAUAAAAACAAUGACAAAGUUGUCGAGAAACGGUCAGCAGAUUCGAUUCAUUAGAUCCAUAAAUGCGGCAGGGGCAUUCGUUAGACCGAAGGGCAUUACGACAAAUUCAUAAUGUCCGUAACGAGUUCGGAAAGCGGUUUUUGGAAUAUCCUCUUCCCGGACUCUGAGUUGGUGAUACCCGGACCGUAAAUCUAUUUUAGAAAAAUAACUAGCCCCUUGGAGCUGGUCAAAUAGGUCAUCGAUUCGUGGGAGUGGGUAGCGGUUUUUGAUUGUGAGUUUGUUUAACUCUCUGUAAUCGAUACACAUUCUAAAAGAUCCGUCUUUCUUUUUGACAAAGAGCACCGGAGCUCCCCAUGGCGAAUAACUAGGUCGAAUAAAUCCCUUAUCCAAAGUUCGCUGAGUUGGCCGGAUAAUUCCUGCAUUUCGGCAGGAGCCAACCGAUAGGGUGAUUUAGCAAGAGGAUUUGCUCCUGGGAUAAGGUCAAUUCGAAAUUCGACCUGUCUUUCUGGGGGCACUCCCGGAAGAUCUUCAGGAAAUACAUCCGCAAAUUCACAUGCCACUGGAAUGUCUCGAACGUUAAUCUCCCCCUUGGUCUUGUCCACCACAUGAGCCAGGAACGCCAGAUUGUUCCUACGUAGAUAUUUUUGUGCCUUGACACACGAAACGAGGCGGAGGUUCAUGCUAGAUUUGUCUCCGUAGACCACUAGGGUUUCGUGAUUUGGAAGACGAAGACGGACGGCCUUCUCGUGGCACAUAAUGUCGGCAUGGUGGGGGCUUAACCAGUCCAUACCGAUGAUCACGUCGAAACUCCUAAUUGAUACUGGCAUUAGGUCUAUUCGGAAGACGUGUUGAUUAAGAGUUAGGGUACAUCCGAUGUAGAUUUCCCCAGUGGAUUCGGUUUUCCCAUUGGCCAUUUCCACCGUAUAGGCUUCAUUUAGCUUUUGGGGAGGUUGUUUUAAUAAGUGUUUAAACUUAUUGCUUACGAAGCUUCGCUCCGCUCCGGAGUCAAAUAAGAUGCAUGCAUAAGCGUGGUUUAAGAGAAACGUAACGAUAACAACAGAGGGAUCCUGAAUAGCUUCCCCCUGACCCACGGUCAUCAUCCUUCCUGUUCCUCCAUUUCUUGAAUUGUUGUUGUUGGGACAGUCUCGGCGGACGUGUCCAGUCUUCCCGUAUCCGUAGCAGGUGUAGCUAGGCCCUGCGCUGUUGCCGCUGACAUGGGUGUUGUUGCUGUUGCGAGGGUUGUUGUUGUUGAUUCCCUGAUUUUGGUUAUGGGGAGGGUAAGCCUUGCAGUACUUUGCAGUGUGACCCCUUCGGUUGCAGCUGGUGCACUGAAAAUCCUUGCAUUCUCCAUAAUGAUGGAAACCGCACUUGUUGCAUUUGGGAAGAUUACCGGAAUAAGGUUUGGAAGUAUUUGAAGUGGCUGAGGUUGGAGCAUGUGGUGCGGCUGGAGCCGAUGCGGUNNNNNNNNNNNNNNNNNNACAGCAUUAACCGCCACUGUCUGCUGUUUCUUGGAGGUGUCGGGGCCCUGACGCCCCUUCCUCUUGUUGUUCCUUCCCCUCUUGUCAUCUCCUUCCUUCUUCUUCUCAGCCUCCACUGGUUUCUCUCCCUUUUUGUUAUUAUGGUCGUACAACCUCUUCGCCAAUCUCUUUGCACUGUCAAAUGUUUCUGGGUUUGCAGCUAUCACAUUCCCUUGAAUUGGUGAUGUGAGUCCCCAGAUGAAUCGCUCGAUCUUCUUUCCUUCCGAGGUGAUCAUACCCGGGCACAACAGAGAUAGUUCGCUAAAUCUCGAUAUGUAGGCAUCGAUAUUCGCGUUCUGCACAGUGAGGUUCCAUAGCUCUUGUUCCAUCUUCUGUAUUUCGCCUCGUGGGCAGUACUCUGCCAUCAACAUUUCUUUCAUUUCUGUCUAGGGGAUGGAGUUGGCUACAGGGAGCGUCAUGGAUUCUACAUUUCCAUUCCACCAGGUGAGCGCCUGAUCCACAAAAGCGCAAGCUGCGAACUUCACCUUCAUGUGCUCAGGGCAGUCGCAUAUCUCGAAUAUCGAUUCCACCUUCUCGAUUCAGCGCUUCAGAGUGAUCACUCCUCCAGUACCAUUAAAAGUUCGUGGUUUGGCGUUUGUGAAGUCCUUGUAGGUACACGUCUUGGUGGGUCCUUGAUUCAUUCCAUUGUUUGAACUUCCGGCUCCUUGCCCAUUGACUCCUCCAUUGUUCCCUUGUUGAAUUUGCGCAAUCGCUGCAGUGACUGCUGCUGAUACAGCUGCCUGAAAGGCGGCUGAGUCAACUUCGGGUGGGGUUAGUCCUGGGUUUCCGCGAGUAGUUGGGCGAGGCAUCUUUCUGUCACGAAACGGAAAGAUGUUGAGUGUACGUGGUUUCUAUGGGGUUGCGACCCUACUAACUAGGUGUAUGAUACGAACCUAAGCAUUUCUACCAUCGAGCAUACAAUCAUAACGUCUCAACACAUAACAACUGUGAACAUCAUAGCAAAGCACACAAAAGUUUAUUAAUAUUAUCCGCGUUUAGUACAGGAAAAUUUGCUCGUAAGAGCAUACAUAAGUAACACUAAUCCGACAGCAUAACGGCUCCAUGAGUAGUGUAGUCACUUAAACAUAGAGUCGGAGUACAUAACAUAGUUCCUAGUGAUCUACUAUGAUGAGUCUAUCCCUAGCCGCGAUGAGCUGCGUCCUACUAUAAUGGUGAAAUCAUAUGCCGAAGUGCUGAGCUAGCAGUUGCGCCAUCUCUGUCAUGUCUACAAUGACUUCAUCCCUCUCAACCUCUUCUCGCACGGCUCGUGCUUCCAUGGCGAACAGUUGUUGUCGUAAGUCGGCAAUCACGGCCUCUGGGGAGCGAUUUUCCAUCGCAGGAUUCACUGGCGGGACGUGGGGAUCCCGUUGCGCUUCGCUAACAGGAGAUGCGAGGUGACUAACGUCCGGGGCCUGAUCCUCCUUCAUGUCAUCGUCGGUCUCCUCGAACUCGUAGUCGGUGUCCAUGAAUUCGUCUGGUGCAAUGCCGUGGGCUCCCUCUUGAUUCCCUUCUGGUUCGCCUUCAAGUACCCCGUGUGCCUCAGGGGCUUGGAAGAACUGGAUGCCCUGAUGCUCUCCCUCCAUGACGACUGAGAGAAAGUAUGUGAAUAAGCUACCACUUUCCUAUGAUUCUAACGCUAUGGCACAAACUAAACCGACAUCCUCUUCUUGGUGGUAGGGGUAUAGUUUUAGGUUCCCUAGCUAUCCCGACCUCAUUGAGACGUGUAUUAGUUUUACUUUGGAGAGAAUGUAGUUGAUCAGGCUACAUUCACUCCUUGAUAUCACUAAGAACAGUCCCAAUUUAACCGAGAUACCAGCCUUAUUGUGUUUGAUUCGGCGUUAAGUUCCUAUUCCUAGUGCAAACAAGGUUGUUUUAUUUACUUGUUUUGUUCAGAGUUAUGUUAGUCCCUCUUUUUGGUUUAUAGUUGCAUAUCCGUGUGUGGCGAGAUAUGCUAGUUCACUAUAAACAAUGCUCUGAUACCAACCUGUCACACCCCCGAACCAGACGGCGGAAACGUCCGAGGGCUAUCGUGACUCAUUGAAUACCAUUACAAUGCAUAUACAUGAAACAUAACAUAAAACAUCACCAACAUUUGGAAUAGUACAACCGUUAGUGUUUACAUUCGUUACAUUGUUCAAUCGUUACAUUCUCAAAAUAACUGUUCAACUUCACUUAAACUACAGCAAACAUCAUAGAGUAUAAAUCAUCCAUCACCUUAUCUGUUACCUGAGAAUACAAGUAUUUUGAAAAACGUCAACAUACGAAAUGUUGGUGAGUUCAUAAGUAAAGUUUGAAAACCAAGUAAUGUUUGAAACCCAUCAGAAAAUCCGAUAUUUUCUAAUAAUAAAAUGGUAUAAAAAUAUGUGUUGAUCCAUGAGUAUGCAUGCUUGAAUUCUUAUUGAUGAAAGUGUAAUAGUUGUAAAAAUAUUUAGACCGGUAAUUCAUAAUUUGUAACUAUUGAAAACCCUAGGAAAACCCGACGUUUUCCUAUCAUUUUGUAUUACUUAGUUGUAUACCGUUGUUUCGUUUCGUUAGAGUGAAUCAUUGAGCUCUGGAGGCAUUGAGAAUACAAUGGGUGGUGAAGUGUUGUGACGUACGUCGACGAAAACAUCCGAUCGACAACCUUACAAGCGAUCCCUUACGCACCACUCGUAAUUCUUCACACAACUCAAUCCUCCCGGACUUGUGUAGUCCCACGACCGGAGGGAAGGAGAGAAGGUACGAAACCCUCGGUAUUUCCCCGCGUCGAUUGGGAUAAAUGCAAUCGCGAAGGGCCCAAAGCCCAAACCGCAAUCGUGAGUUACCGACUUUACUAGCAGCACUGAAAAACCCUUGGGGUCCAGCAGUAUGCCAUUGAAAGUCCUGUUACGUCAUGUCGGAUCGCUAAAACCCAACACUUCGUAAGUGAGAGAGAGACCUUCGUGCCUUAAGAUCAGGUCAUUGGGCUAGCUAGGCUCAACGAACAAGAUUUUACACUUUUGGGCCCAAAGAUAGUGCAUAGACGUCUGCGCACACUCGCAUGUAAUAGUAAUCGUUAUGGUUAUGAAUCGUGAUGUCGUAAUGUCAUAGUAACGUCGUGUUAGUGGUUUUGGAUUUUUAUUGGUUCGAGACCGAACCAAUUCGUAUAAUAACGACUUUUGGUAUUGUGAUAUAUCGUAUUUCGUCGAUAAGUGUGGUACCAUUAAUUGGUCAAAUUGAAUGUAUUAACUAGCCUUGAAGAUUUUCCGUUUUCAGCCACUCCUUAAUUAUGGAAUUUACUCUUUUCACCCUUUUAUAAAAAAAAACUUUCCGGUUUGGUCCUUAAACAAAUUUUCUUGACAAUUUUUAUACCAAAAAUUAUUGAAAUAAGUAUUUUCUAGCAUUUUUAUCAUAGAAACAGUUUAAGUCCUUGAAAUUACAGUUUUCUCGGUUAUAACACCUCUUUUUCGCAAUUUUUACAUUUUUGGCCCAAAUUGGAAAAUUUUUGCAACUUUGGUCCUUUUUAAAUUUGAAAAGCAUUUUGAACCCUUGAAAAGUACAUGGAACACUUAUAGUCCACUGUUUUACAGAAAAAUGCAGUUUUGGUCCUCCAAUUUAGAAAAUUUCGCAUAUUGGGCCUUAUUGGGCCGAAAAUGUCACCUUUAGCCCAAUAAGCUUGGAAUUUAUGUUUUCAAUCCUCUAAGUAGCAUAUUUUUAGAAAAAUAUAUUAUGUAAACUGUUUUGACUCAUCUCACCCAUCAGAUUUCGAGAUAUUGCACUUUAGGCCCUUAAACUUUGUAUUUUCAACAUUUCAUGUCAAAAAAAUGAGUUUUUAGUCCAAGUUAAGUGUUGUUAAGCUAUUUAGCCAUUUUCUUAAUAUACUUUGCAUGUGAUAGUCUAUUUUGUGCUAUGGUAAAAUAUAUGUCUCGGUUUUUAGCAUAUCACCCUAGAUCUAUCAAUAAAAUCAUACAAAACAUACAUGUAAGCAUAGAAAUCAACCACAACAUACACAUAAUGAUGGAUCUACACUUUUUCUUGUAUUCUCCCCCAUAAAAACUCAUAAAAAUCGAAAAUAAGGGGAUAUGAAACUCACUUUGGGUGUUGAUUCGGUUUUUGGAAGAAAGAAUGGAAGAAAUGAAGUAACUUUGGCCUUUGCACCCUUGAUGAAGUUUUCGAGCUUAUGAAGCUUUCUAAGGUGAAAAAUCACGAUUUUUGCAUGGAUUAGGAAGGGAUUUGAUAACAAAAAGAAUAUAAAUCAUAGAUCCAUGCGUAAUCUUACCUUAGAUGAAGAAUUUGUGGAAAUUUCCCCUUGAAUGCUUUCUAAAACUCGAGAUUUUGAGUGGACAGGGAGAAGUGUUCUUGAGUGUUCUUGAGAGAGUUUGAGAGAUUUUUGUGGUGUGUGUGUGUGCUAGUGGCCGAGAGUGAGAGAGAGAAGAGAAGAAGAGGUGAUAUUUGAGGUGAUGUGCAUGGAAGAAUGAGAAUAAUGCAUGGAUGUCCAAUGGAUAAAAAUGAGGUGGCAUGGGAAAGUCAAACCCUCCUCUUGGGUUUGAUGUGGGCCGAAAACAAGGAAGGAAAAAGGAAAUUUGGGCUUUUUGCUCCCAAGCCCAAUAUUGGAGUUAAUUUGGGUGAAUUUUAUCAUAAAAGAAUAUAGUAUGAUUUUUCCAUUUUUGUUGAACUAGUUUAGGGUAUUCAUGGAUCAAAGCUUUCAAUUCAUUUCAUUCUAGGCCCAAUAUGGCCCAAAAUGUUGAAAUAAAUUAGUGUGGGUCCAAUUAGAGCCCAAUUAGGGUUCUAAGCCCAUGAUAGUCUAAUUGGAAGCUUAUUGGUCCAUUUGGAUCCAAUAAGGGAGUCCUAGUCCAAAGUGGACUUAAACAAGGACUUCUAGGGUUUCCAAUUGUUUGGUGACUAUUUGU